This 836-nucleotide ribosomal RNA is filed under the name uncultured Cryptomarasmius. RNAcentral's name for it is "eukaryotic LSU rRNA". The stretch from base 314 to 467 matches the Rfam family "5.8S ribosomal RNA". Lineage: Eukaryota; Fungi; Basidiomycota; Agaricomycetes; Agaricales; Physalacriaceae. The record is from RNAcentral.
UCCGUAGGUGAACCUGCGGAAGGAUCAUUAUUGAACUUUGAAAUCCUUGUGGCUCACGUUGGUCUGUAGCUGGCCCCUUCGGAGGUAUGUGCUCGCCAGCGUUUGCUGCAACUUUCUUCGUCCACCUGUGCACUUUUUGUAGACUUGGAGUAUCUCUCGACUUCGAAGCCGCAAGGCUCAGAAGCUCGGAAUUUGGAGGGUUUGCGGCUUCUGGUCGCUCCCUCUGUCUCUCCAAGUCUAUGUCAUUAUAAACUCUAUUGUAUGUCUUGAAUGUCUUUGUUGUAUUGGACGCAAGUCCUAUAAAACUUUAUACAACUUUCAACAACGGAUCUCUUGGCUCUCGCAUCGAUGAAGAACGCAGCGAAAUGCGAUAACUAAUGUGAAUUGCAGAAUUCAGUGAAUCAUCGAGUCUUUGAACGCACCUUGCGCCCUUUGGUAUUCCGAAGGGCAUGCCUGUUUGAGUGUCAUUAACUUCUCAACCUCCCUCACUUUGUUGUGAGCUGGCGGAUUGGAUCGUGGGGGCUUGCUGGAGCACUUGUGGCCUCAGCUCCUCUGAAAUGCAUUAGCGGAAUCCUCUUUGAACUUGGAGGCUUGCUGCAGCUGUGAUAAUAUCUACGGCCGUGGCUUGAAGCGUUUGCUAGGGUUUUGAAGGGAUGCCUCUGGCGCCCUUUGCUUUCUCUUCGCAAGGAGAGAUAACUAUCCCUAGUGUCUGCGUACCUUUAGUUCGAGUUGGCUAGUUCAGCUUCUAACCGUCUUGUAACGAGACAACUAUUGACCAUUUGACCUCAAAUCAGUAGGACUACCCGCUGAACUUAAGCAUAUCAAUAAGCGGAGGA